This 604-nucleotide ribosomal RNA is filed under the name uncultured fungus. RNAcentral describes it as "eukaryotic LSU rRNA". It matches the Rfam family "Eukaryotic large subunit ribosomal RNA", at positions 23 to 641 of the family's 3401-position model. The record is from RNAcentral. Lineage: Eukaryota; Fungi.
ACCCGCUGAACUUAAGCAUAUCAAUAAGCGGAGGAAAAGAAACCAACAGGGAUUGCCUCAGUAACGGCGAGUGAAGCGGCAACAGCUCAAAUUUGAAAUCUGGCUCUUUCAGGGUCCGAGUUGUAAUUUGUAGAAGAUGCUUCGGGUGUGGUGCCGGUCUAAGUUCCUUGGAACAGGACAUCAUAGAGGGUGAGAAUCCCGUAUGUGACUGUGCGCCUACGCUCAUGUGAAGCUCUUUCAACGAGUCGAGUUGUUUGGGAAUGCAGCUCAAAAUGGGUGGUAUAUUUCAUCUAAAGCUAAAUAUUGGCCAGAGACCGAUAGCGCACAAGUAGAGUGAUCGAAAGAUGAAAAGCACUUUGGAAAGAGAGUUAAACAGUACGUGAAAUUGUUGAAAGGGAAGCGCUUGCAACCAGACUUGCGCGCGGUUGAUCAUCCGUGGUUCUCCACGGUGCACUCGAUCGUGCUCAGGCCAGCAUCAGUUUCGGUGGUUGGAUAAAGGUCGUGGGAAUGUGGCUCCUCUCGGGGAGUGUUAUAGCCCACGAUGCCAUGCAGCCAACUGGGACUGAGGACCGCGCUUCGGCUAGGAUGCUGGCGUAAUGGUUGU